GUGCCAGCCGCCGCGGUAAUACGUAGGGUGCGAGCGUUAAUCGGAAUUACUGGGCGUAAAGCGUGCGCAGGCGGUUUUGUAAGACAGGCGUGAAAUCCCCGGGCUCAACCUGGGAACUGCGCUUGUGACUGCAAGGCUAGAGUACGGCAGAGGGGGGUGGAAUUCCACGUGUAGCAGUGAAAUGCGUAGAGAUGUGGAGGAACACCAAUGGCGAAGGCAGCCCCCUGGGUCGAUACUGACGCUCAUGCACGAAAGCGUGGGUAGCAAACAGGAUUAGAUACCCUGGUAGUCCACGCCCUAAACGAUGUCAACUAGGUGUUGGGUGGGUAAAACCAUUUAGUACCGUAGCUAACGCGUGAAGUUGACCGCCUGGGGAGUACGGCCGCAAGGUUAAAACUCAAAUAAAUUGACGG
This 413-nucleotide ribosomal RNA is filed under the name uncultured bacterium. Its description in RNAcentral is "bacterial SSU rRNA". It matches the Rfam family "Bacterial small subunit ribosomal RNA", at positions 505 to 916 of the family's 1533-position model. The record is from RNAcentral.